RNAcentral lists this ribosomal RNA (501 nucleotides) under uncultured bacterium. RNAcentral's name for it is "bacterial SSU rRNA". It matches the Rfam family "Bacterial small subunit ribosomal RNA", at positions 28 to 526 of the family's 1533-position model. The record is from RNAcentral.
GACGAACGCUGGCGGCGUGCUUAACACAUGCAAGUCGAACGAAGCAUUUAUCGUGAAUCCUUCGGGAGGAAUGAUUUAUGACUGAGUGGCGGACGGGUGAGUAACGCGUGAGCAACCUGCCCAUAAGAGGGGGACAACACUGGGAAACCGGUGCUAAUACCGCAUAAGACCACGGUAUCGCAUGAUACAGAGGUCAAAGAUUUAUCGCUUAUGGAUGGGCUCGCGUCCCAUUAGCUAGUUGGUAGGGUAAGAGCCUACCAAGGCAACGAUGGGUAGCCGACCUGAGAGGGUGAUCGGCCACACUGGAACUGAGACACGGUCCAGACUCCUACGGGAGGCAGCAGUGGGGAAUAUUGGGCAAUGGGGGAAACCCUGACCCAGCAACGCCGCGUGAGGGAAGAAGGUUCUCGGAUUGUAAACCUCUGUCCUUAGGGACGAAAAAAAUGACGGUACCUAAGGAGGAAGCCCCGGCUAACUACGUGCCAGCCGCCGCCGUAACAC